GAUGAACGCUGGCGGCGGGCCUAAUACAUGCAAGUCGAGCGAACGGACGAUAAGCUUUCUUCUCUGAGGGUAGCGGCGGGCGGGUGAGUAACACGUGGAUAACCUACCUAUAAGACUGGGAUAACUUCGGGAAACCGGAUCUAAUACCGGAUAAUAUUUUGAACCGCAUGGUUCAAAAGAGAAUGGCGGUCUGGCCGUCACUUUGAGAUGAUUCCGCGCUGCAUUGGCUAGGUGGUAAGGUAACGGCUUACCAACGAAACGAUGCAUAGCCGAUCUGAGAGUGUGCUCGCCCACACUGACAGUGAGACACGCCACAGUCUUAUACGGGAGGCAGGUGUAGGGUAUCGUCCGAUGUGCGCGAGCGCCUGACAGAGCAACGCCGCGUGAGUGGUGAACGUCCUCGGAUCGUAAACCUCUGUUUUUAGGAGAGAACCUAUGUGUAAGUACCUGUGCACAUCUAGGCGGUCCAUAAUAAGAACGCCGCGGAUCUCCGCG
This 495-nucleotide ribosomal RNA is filed under the name uncultured bacterium. Its description in RNAcentral is "partial 16S ribosomal RNA". It matches the Rfam family "Bacterial small subunit ribosomal RNA", at positions 28 to 505 of the family's 1533-position model. The record is from RNAcentral.